GAGUCGGACCUGCCCGGUGAAUAAUUUUUAACGGCCGCGGUACUCUGACCGUGCAAAGGUAGCAUAAUCAUUUGCCCUAUAAUUGAGGGCUAGUAUGAAUGGUUUGACGUGAGCGAGACUGUCUCUAUAUAAUUUCUUAGAACUUGAUUUUUAGGUGAGGAAACCUAAAUUUAAUUGAAAGACAAGAAGACCCUAUUGAGCUUUAAAAUAAUAAGUUGAAAAUGACAUAUAGUUUUAAAUAUCAAUCUAUUUUAAAUUUUGGUUGGGGCGACUAAGGAACAAAUAAAGCUUCUUUAUUUAGCUAAUACUGUCGGGUGUUGAUCCAAAAAUUUUGAUUAAUGGAAUUAGUUACCAUAGGGAUAACAGCAUAAUUCUCUUUGAGAGUUCAUAUCGAAAAGAGAGUUUGUGACCUCGAUGUUGGACUAGAAUAUCCUAAAGAUGUAGCAGUCUUUAAGGGUUGGUC
This 463-nucleotide ribosomal RNA is filed under the name Trona stercoraria. RNAcentral describes it as "partial 16S large subunit ribosomal RNA". It matches the Rfam family "Bacterial large subunit ribosomal RNA", at positions 1850 to 2577 of the family's 2925-position model. The record is from RNAcentral. Lineage: Eukaryota; Metazoa; Mollusca; Gastropoda; Littorinimorpha; Cypraeidae.